AUUACCGAGUGCGGGCCCUCUGGGUCCAACCUCCCAUCCGUGUCUAUCUGUACCCUGUUGCUUCGGCGUGGCCACGGCCCGCCGAAGACUAACAUUUGAACACUGUCUGAAGUUUGCAGUCUGAGUUUUUAGUUAAACAAUAAUUAAAACUUUCAACAACGGAUCUCUUGGUUCCGGCAUCGAUGAAGAACGCAGCGAAAUGCGAUAAUUAAUGUGAAUUGCAGAAUUCAGUGAAUCAUCGAGUCUUUGAACGCACAUUGCGCCCCCUGGUAUUCCGGGGGGCAUGCCUGUCCGAGCGUCAUUGCUGCCCUCAAGCACGGCUUGUGUGUUGGGCUUCCGUCCCUGGUAACGGGGACGGGCCCAAAAGGCAGUGGCGGCACCAUGUCUGGUCCUCGAGCGUAUGGGGCUUUGUCACCCGCUCCCGUAGGUCCAGCUGGCAGCUAGCCUCGCAACCAAUCUUUUUAACCAGGUUGACCUCGGAUCAGGUAGGGAUACCCGCUGAACUUAAGCAUAU
RNAcentral lists this ribosomal RNA (514 nucleotides) under Aspergillus pseudoglaucus. Its description in RNAcentral is "eukaryotic LSU rRNA". The stretch from base 148 to 301 matches the Rfam family "5.8S ribosomal RNA". The record is from RNAcentral. Lineage: Eukaryota; Fungi; Ascomycota; Eurotiomycetes; Eurotiales; Aspergillaceae.